This is a long non-coding RNA of Ictalurus punctatus (channel catfish), 5214 nucleotides long. The record is from Ensembl. NCBI's taxonomy places the organism in Eukaryota, Metazoa, Chordata, Actinopteri, Siluriformes, Ictaluridae.
GUGUUAAAAGAGUGCCUUGUGUCUUUCCUAUUGUUUACUCUGAGUGUUCUCUGCUGCUGAUGUUUAAUGUCACUUAGGCUUUUCUCCUCUCAGACUGACUUUACAUAAGCUUUCACACUGCAUUUGUGCGUGUGUAUAAGCAUCAAUGCAGGGUUAAAAUGUGAGGAAACCCAGGUGUUUCACCCCUUCUUCGCAUUAAAAAUUUGGCCUGUGGAAACUGCUCAGUGCUCGGAUUUUGACCACAAACCAUAUAGAUCAAAAUCAUACACUGUAUAGAAGACUAUAAAUCAUACAUACAGUGGGGGAAAUAAGUAUUGAAUGCGGCAACAUUUUUUUCAGUAAAUAUAUUUCAAAUGAGGCUGUUCACAUGAAAUUUUCACCAGAAUUUUCAACUCAAUAAAUCCAUACAUAUAAAGAAAUCCAAACAUUAAAAUCCAUAAAUGAAGUUAUGUGUAAUAAAGCGGAAUGACACAGGAAAAAAGUUAACUGAAAUUUAUUUAAUACUUAGUGGAGAAGCCAGAAGCCUUUGUUUGUAACGACAGCUUCAAGACACUUCCUGUAUGAAGAAAUUAAUGGGAUGCAGUAUUCAGAGUUUCCUUUGCUGUAUGCUUUGGAUUGUUGUCCUGCUGGAUGGUCCACCCACAUCUCAUCUUCAUCAUCCUGGUGGAUGGCAGCAGAUUCUUCUCAAGAGUUUCCCGGUAAAGGACUCCAUUCAUCAUUCUUUCAGUUAUAUGAAGUCUGCCAGUACCAUGCGAUGAAAAACAGCCCCACACUAUGAUGCUUCCACCUCCAAACUUCACUGUUGGUGUAGUGUUUUUAGGGUGAUGUGCAGUGCCAAUUUUUCUCCAAACAUGGUGUGUAGUAUAACAGCCAAAAAGUUUAAUUCUGCUCUCGUCUGACCAGACUACACUCUCCCAGUAUUUCAUAGGCUUGUCCAAAUGAGUUGUAGCAAACUUUAAACGAGCUUCGACAUGCCUUUUCUUUAGUUGUGGAGUCUUGUGGUGUGAGCGUGAGCAGUGGAGAGCAUUUUUUGGGCCUAUUGUUUUCUCUGUGACGAUGGUACCUGUUGCCUCCAAGUGUUUCUGGAGCUCUUUCUGAGUGGUCCUUGGCUCUUGGGCUACUGUUCUGACUAUUCUUCUGACUCCCUGGUCAAAAAUCUUACAAGGAGCUCCUGUGCGUGGCCUUCUGAUGACAGUGUGAUGUUGCUUCCACUUGUGGAUAAUGGCCCUAAUGGUGUUUGCUGGAGACUUCAGACGUUUUGAAAUAUAUCUGUAUCCGAUUCCAUCACUAUGUUCUGCAACAAUAAGGUUGCAAAGGUCUUGGGAGAGCGCUUUGCUUUUACCCAUCAUGAGAUGUUUCUUGUGUGACACCUUGGUAACGAAAAGCCUUUUUAUAGACCAUCAAUUUACUUACCAAGCUGAUAUUAAUUUUCACAGUUAGGAGGUAUAAUUACGUAUGGAUUUCAGCUGGUUCCUUGCCUUACCUGCUUUUUCUAAGCGUGUUCAAUACUUUUUUCUUGUGUUAUUCCACUUAAUUACACCUAACCAUAUUUAUAGACUUUAAUGACUUCUUGAGUUAAUACUGAUGUCUGGUGAAAAUUUCACGUGAAUAGCCUCAUUGGAAACAUAUUCAUUGAAAAAAAUGUUGACGCAUGCAAUACUUAUUUCCCCACUACAUAUAUUUUCUAAGCACACUCUAGAGGACUGUUUUCAUACUCUGAAGCAAAUGACUACAUGUGAUAAAGUAUCUGUUAAUUGAAUUAUGCGGCUUUGCAGAUUUUAUCUCGUUCAUCUCAUACAGAUGAUACAGGAGGUUCACAUGCUUUUAAAUAAAAUUAAGAAAGUACUUUUUGGCCAGGGGGUCACUGGUGGAAAAACAAACAGCAACAUUUUCUUUAUUAGUUUCAGCUAUGGAGAUGUGGUCAUGCUACAUCCAAGUUUAAGGGCCUUGAGAGAUGGCUGUUUUAUUUCCUGUUCUUUUCCAGGAAAAAGAACUAAGCUAAGUGCUUAAGGAGUGGGUGUAUAGUAUAUUGCAAUACACAAGAGAAGAGAAAAAAAGGAGAAGGAGAGAGAGAAAACAGACAAGGAAGGAGAAAGCAAGGUGAAAGAUAUAUUUUGGGUAACUGGGGAGUGCAUGAGAAAGGAAGUGUGCCUGUAAAUAUGAACCCCAGUAGGAAAAUAUACUGUAGUUAUAGACCCCUACUUUGUAUGGAGCAUCUUUAAGGGAAAAAAAAGCGAAGAAAAAAACCAAACCAAGCGGACACGCUAUUGAGUAAGCGAAACAGCCCCUACGGUCAGGUCUUUGACCCCUCAGUGCUUGCUGAUUUCACAAAGAAUUUAUUAGCUGAUCUACAUCUGCAAAUCAUUUGAGCUGUUGUUUUGAGGCAGGCCUGAGCCAAGCAGCACACAUCCCUCUGUCCGGGUCACAAGGCGAGGUCAGAACAUUGUUAGGAGGUGCAGAGAGAAUUGUGCCUCUGGCAGCAAAGCCAUCCUCCCAUUUCAUGCUUUAAAGCAUUUUAUGGUCUUCUCCACAGCCGUCUAUCAACCUAGUUCAUUAACAGUGGAGGCUGCAUUGAGGCACAUGCUAAGAUUUCUGUGACAGACAUGCAUUCUUGGGAGCUAAAAGAAGCAGUCCAAGCUUGUCUUGUGUUCAGAUGCUAUGGUUUGGAUCCAGAGACUGAUUGAUAUAGUGUAAACACUGCGUUAGUGGAACAGCGCAUGCUGAUGAAAUGAUGAUGAUGAUGUUGAUGUUGAUGAUGAUUGAAUGUGUUUGUAUAUGCAUUUGUUUGCAUGGUGUGCAUUGGAGCUUGUGUUUUGUUAAAAUGUACAUAGCAUUACAUUCAGCUUUACAUAAUAUAUGUUUAUUUUCUCAUCUACAGAAGUGUUUUUUUUUAACAUACAUGGAAAACAGAUCAGAUUAGAGUCUAAAGAUAUCACUACCAGAAACAGGAAUGCAAAUACAUCGUGUAGGUCAUAUAUUUUUUUUCUAAUCAUGUGCAUGAUUAGAUAUUAUUAAAGAGAGUUGUCAGCAUUUGAGUUCAGUAAUGGAACUGAAAAAUCAUUGGAUGUUACGCUUCCUGGUUGCCAGUACAGAAAGCAAUGUUGAUGCUUUUGGGGGUGGGUCAAGCCAAGCCUUACUUGUGGCUGACACACCUUGAGGUACUGUAUGGUGCGAUUAAGGGGGUCAGUCAAUUUUCUGGUGUGAUAGGCAAAAAUUAGGAUUUAUUAUCCAGGCCUGGUGGCCUGGGAAAACCAGUCAGAUGUUAUUGAGGCUAAAUUGUGGCCAACAACCAAAAAAUUGACCAAAUGAUGAAAUUGGAUUUUUCUGCAGAUGACAUGCCAAACAUUUCAACUUUAGAAAACAAUUGUUCUAAUUUACAGGCUUACUGAAAGUUGGGUUUAACAAACAUGUUGUUAAAAACAUGUAAAUGAAGUAAGUGUUCCCAGACAUGUCAUGCUUUGAUGAAGUUUUUGGAUAGCUACGUGGCGUAGUGAAACAGACAUGCCUGAUAAAUACAAUGUCUAAUCAAAAUGUACUGAUGAGAGCGGAGAAAGUUUUCACAUGUUUGAAUGAUCUAAUAAAAAAGGCAAAUUUAUCCAACAAAACUCACUGGAUUAUCUGCAUUUUCUUCAGCUCUGAUGUAAGAGCCAACAGUGAACAGAUUAAAUGCCUCAAGUGACUUUUACCUCAGGUGAGGAGACAGAGACUGAUGUGGAUGAUGCUGAUGAUCAUUUAUAAAUGCAUUAGUUAUGCAUUUAACAUAUACAAUUAUAUAUAAAUAUAAUAUGUAAAUCUUAUGUAUUGAAGAUUAAAUAAAAUUAAAUUAAUAAAUAGCAGUGUAACUGGAAUGGAGUAUGUAAAUACAAUUUUCUUUUUUUCAUUUUUUUUAUUUUAGAGUUAACCUUAACAUGCUAUAUGGUUACUUUCUGCUUGAGAUGUAUGUAACAAAGAAACAGCUGGAGUUGUCAGAUCCAUACAUAAUACAAAAUCAAAAUUUGACCAUGUGAAGGGUUUUCCCAGGCCACCACACAUAUAGGUUAGAACUACAGAAAAACCAGACAAGGAAGGAGCAGCAAUGAUGAACAAUACUGUAUAUUCUAGGGAGAAACUAAAGACCCAGAAAAAGUGUGCAUGAGAAAGUUAGCUCUAUGAGCAUCUAUGAGUUCCAACUGAGAAGAGCGUUCCAGGUGUUGGAAAUCAUACAGGUACUGAAGGGAUAAUUAAGUGUGUUGUGUGUGGCGCAUCGAGUAGUGUGUGGAGUUUCUAUGAUCCAUGCAUGGAAACUUUGAGUAACAAAUUGACUGAAAUGGAAUUUUAAUUGCACGCUUCAUCCUCUGCUGAUGUCCUGGAAAAGCACGCUGAAGUGAUGCGUUUUGAGAGCGCAUUGGUGGUCUGAAGUGGUUGGGUAGUUUUAGGAGUUGUAGUGGUAAAAGAGGCAUCAAAUUAUUUAAUUUUUGAAAUUGACAUUUAAAUGAUUCGUACAAAUAAAACAGUGUGUGUAGAUGUCUGUAUAUUCAUGAGAGUGUACAAUAUAAAUACCAGGGGAUCCAUUUAAAAAAAAACAACAACAACAACCUUUACCAUCAAACUGCUUCUGCUUCACAGAUAUGGGCUCUAUGUCCCUGAGUAGGCAUGACGACGCUGCAGAGAGCCAAGUGUGGGAGUCUAAAGUCCUGAAAGCAUGCUCUCAAAAUACAAACAGCUCUUUAGGCUUCUGGAUCCCUCAGGGCAAGCCCUUAAUCUGUGCCUGUCUGGAGAUUAGAGUGACCUUCUAAACGAUAAGAGCCUCUCCUGUCUACUAUGAAGGCCACGGUUAAUGUAAAGGAUGGGAGCCAGCACUUUGUGUGUGUGUGUGUGUGUGUGUGUGUGUGUGUGUGUGUGUGUGUGUGUGUGUGUGUGUGUGUUUACUCUGCUGCCUGCGGUCUGGAUUAACCAGGAUGAGAGUGGGAAGCACAGGUGAGGAUCUUCUUCAAUCAUGGGCCUUUUUCCAUGACUUCUCCUGAGAAUCCUCACAUGUGCACUCACCCCGACACAUGCAUGCUCACUUAAACCAGAAAGCUCAAAUAAGAGCUCACAUAAGUACACAAGGGUGCACACAUGUUCAUUAAAUAGAAACAGAAAAGCAUACACAAGUGAGUGAGUGAACACACACACACACACACACACACACACACACACACACACACACACAGCGAGAGAGAGAGAGAGAGAGAG